GGAUACCCCACUAUGCCAAGGCCUAAAUAAGACCCCCGUCCGCCAGAAAAUUACGAGCGAAAGCUUAAAACUCAAAAGACUUGACGGUGUUCCAACCUACCUAGAGGAGCCUGUUCCAUAAUCGACAACCCACGAUUAACCCAACCUCCCCUUGUAACCCACAGCCUAUAUACCGCCGUCGCCAGCUUACCUUUUAAAAGCACCAAAGUAAGCCAAAUAGUCUACACUAAAAAGUCAGGUCAAGGUGUAGCUUAUGGGGAGGAGACAAUGGGCUACAUUUUCUAUAUUAGAAAAUCACGGACCAAUAUCUGAAACACUAUUAUAAAAGCGGAUUUAGAAGUAAAUCAAACAAGAAUAUUUUAUUUAAUUAAGCUCUGGAACAUGUACACACCGCCCGU
Molecule: ribosomal RNA, 398 nt
Filed under: Bachia flavescens
Lineage: Eukaryota; Metazoa; Chordata; Lepidosauria; Squamata; Gymnophthalmidae
Description: partial 12S ribosomal RNA
Rfam family: Bacterial small subunit ribosomal RNA
Source: RNAcentral